AUGGAUUUCCUCAUGGAGCACCACCAUCGCAUCUCCACGAGUCCGUCGGGUUCCGGCCAUCCCCGUCGUUGCCGGACCUCCUUAGCUCGCCGGAGCUCCUGCCGUGUCGCCGCUGUUGCUUGUUGCCGCGCCACUAGAGGAGUGUUGCCUCUGCUCCUCGAGCAAGCGCUGCCGCCUCGCGUUGACUCGUCGUCGUCGAGUCCUCGCCGGAGAACAACGCCCCGCACCCGGACCCACUCGUCUCGCCGCCGGCAAGCCCUGCCUCCGCCGCCCUCGCCGUCGCGUGUUCUUCUGCUUCCGGCGUCAUCCGUGCGUCGCGUUCUGCUGCGGCCUUUGUUCUUCUGCAACGAGGAGCAACGAGGAGCAACGAGUCGUUCGUGCGUUGACCACGUUUUCCCCCAGGUCGAUCGAUCCAGCCAGGACCAGCCCUGCAACCCCGCGGCCCAGAUCCAGCGCCCGCGUGGGCCUCAGGCAGGCCGGCCUCCUCUGCUUCCUAUUGGGCUGAGCCCAUGGUGA
Molecule: ribosomal RNA, 516 nt
Filed under: Triticum aestivum (bread wheat)
Lineage: Eukaryota; Viridiplantae; Streptophyta; Magnoliopsida; Poales; Poaceae
Description: partial small subunit ribosomal RNA
Source: RNAcentral